Molecule: long non-coding RNA, 4060 nt
Filed under: Sus scrofa (pig)
Lineage: Eukaryota; Metazoa; Chordata; Mammalia; Artiodactyla; Suidae
Description: lncRNA (ENSSSCG00040071536.1)
Source: RNAcentral
CUACAACAGUCUGUUCAAUUUAAUGUUCAUGAGUUGAAUAAAAAUAUAUUUUUGGAAUUUGGGUAAGAAGUAGUAUGAUUGGUUAAAGUAUGAUUUUUUAUCUUCAUUUGUCAGUACAGCUUGUAUUUCAGGUAAUUAUUAGCAACCUUUAAAGAACUGUAAACAGGAGUUUAACAUCUUGCAUCAAUACAUAGUUUAGUGUAUCACCAUUAGUUAGUUCCAAGAUAUUUUUAUUCCAUUUUUAUUUAUUUUCUAAACCAUCUCUAAAGGGACUCUAACUUCCUCAAUAAAGAUCUAGAAUAGAGAAAGAGAUGUUCAUAGUUUGUCACAGAAAAAAAAAAGAAAUAAAAUAUGCCACUUACAUUCUUAUGUAUGCCUGUGAAUUCUAAAUGCAGUUGAUGGCUUGCAUAUAGUGGGUAUAAUUCAUGAAUAUUUCAUAAAAAUAGAAAAGGGACCAGAGAAAAAGAUUUUUAAGAUAUAUAGUGCAAAAAUUCUCUCAAUUGUCCUGAAGCCACUGACAAAUUUCUUUUUCAAAAGUGCAGGUCUCUUUUAAGAGAGACUUUAUAAUAGAGUUCUUAGUUCCAUGAAAUGUGAGACUCACAUAAAUACAUGAUUCCUUAAGAAAAGGAACUGAAUAGAACCACUUAUAAAUCUCCUUUUUGUGGCUUUUUUACACUAAAUGGCUCCCUCCACUUAGCCCUAGAAAAUGUUCUUAUAUUAAUUGUUUGGAAGGUCCAUUGUUUAGAGCACGUGCUUCUGGGAUGCAGGGAUGCUGAACAGGUGCUUAGCUUCCCUGCCGAGGAGAUCAGCCUUCUUCACAUACAGUGUGUGUUUCAAGGACAUGUGGUAAUUUGGGCUCAUGAUAAAUAACCACACUGAUUAGGUUGGCUGGUCAAGAUUGGUCAAUUAAAAUGGUUUUCAAAAAAGAAGGAAAAAACCGAGAGCAGGAGAAAAGCAAUGUAUAUAAAUAUUGUAUGUGGCAUUUGAAAAAAGGAAUGAUCCCUAGGAUUCAGAAAUAAAAGGAAAAUGUAAAUGAAAAUUCUAUCUUUUUUUUUAGCUAUACAGAUGUCUUAGCAAUUUAUAUUUGAAAAAGUUAGAACUGCAUGAACCAUUAUCUUGGGGUCUUUCAGUACAGCUAUGAAUAACAUAAAGAAUAUUUAGGCCAUUGUCAGGGAUGUUGGAUUUAAGCCUUGUUCUGACACUGUUUGAUCAUUUAUCCCUUUAGUUAUGCUCACAUAUUCUCAAAAUGAUGUUCAACAGAUUGAGCUACCACUAACUAGGAGUGUGACCUUGAAGAAGCUAUUUAAACUCUUUGUGUUUUACAUCAUGAAGACAUGGACCAACAAUGAAGUGGGACUAAUGAUUAACCUACACUUUGACUCACUUGUACAGGGUGAAUAAUUAUGCCAUCCCUUCUAACUCAAAGGGUUAUUAAAAUGAUAUAGCUAAUUCAGAGCACUGUAAACACUGUACAGUGGGUGCACAUAACAGGUGCCAUAGUUUUAUAAAUCCAACUGAUUGGUGGUAUUUAUUAGUUAUAUAUAGAUAACUACAGAGAAAAAAAUAGUUAAUGCUAAAAAAUAGAGAGUAUAUAAUUUUCAUAGAAUAAUUAUACAGUCUACUCUCCCUAGCCAAUUGAUUUCCAUAGAAACACAUAAAAUAUUAUUGAUUUAAGAGAUAGCACUUUUGCUUUUAAAGCAUCUAGAUUUAUUUAUAAAUUUUGCCAGCCAAUUUGCCAAGCCUGAAAGUUGCCACCCACUUUUCUACCCCUGGGAGACCGUACAUGGUACAGAUAUUAUAUUCUAGCUCUAGUGCAAUCAGACAUCUGGAUUGAGAAUUUCAAAUUUCACACAUUAUAUUGUAUCAUUUGUCUGCUGAUAAUAAGAAAACUGCCACCUUUAUAAGAAGAUUGUGUAAUGAUAAUAGCAAGUAUUUUCAGAGGACUUACUAUUUGCUGUGCAUGCUUUUAAAUAUUUUUGGUAUACAUUAAUUUCAUUAUUUUAAAGAAGAGUUUUCCAGCAUAAUAUUAGUCUCAUUUGAGUAAUGUGGAAAUAGAAGCUUAAAGGAGUUCAGUUUCCGAAGUCACACAUUAAUAUGUGCUAGGACCAGGACUUGAUUUAGAAACUCUCCAACAUGAAACCUGCAUUUUAAAUUAAUGGGCUCCAUAAUUAUUUGAUGGUGAAUUAUUUAUGGAAUUGAGCUGCUUACGUUUUAGAAAAAAAUUUAGAUAAUUCUUUAGAAACAGUGUAUUUGAAUAACUUUAUAGGAAUACUGCAGAGCAUCACAGUUAAAUGUACUAUUUUCAUAACCCACACAUAGAAGGGCCUUAGUUUUGAAAAUCUAAACUUGGACCAGGUCAAGUUUACCUCCAUAGAAGCUGAAAAUACAGAUUUUGUUUGUAAACAGAAUUAAUUAGCAAUUUUCAGAGGGAUGCCAAAAUGGUACUUUUUCCUUUGUUCUCAUCAAAUAGGUGCUAAUAGUUGCUGUUAACACAAAACUGAUUGCCACCUAGGGUGGGGAGUGCAAGUUGCCACGUCCAGUGACCACAUUGGCCCAUCUGUCGAGAAUCCCUGCUCAGGAACAAUGCAAGAACUGACAUCCAAUUUGGGUUCUGGCCAGUGGUCAGCUAACAAGCUGGGACACACUUGGAAUAAGAAAUGCGUUGAAGUCAGAAAUGCUCUGCUGUCCAUUAACUGGCAGCGCUCAUGUGUGGGCAGAGCCAAGACCAGGUGCCAGUUUGCAGAGCAAAAGGAUCUGCCUGAGUGCCACCUGUCAAUGGCAUAUGACAGGAGUCACAGCAGGUGUGCUUCUUCCAUCAAAGUGUGGCAAGUUAGAGUUCAGCUAGACUAGGGUUGGGACCAGGGUGACAUUUCACAUCUCAGCCCAAAUAGGAGGACAAGCCCAUGGCUUACCAGAAGCUAGUCAUCUUGUCACAACAUAUCCUAAGUGGAUAUACUGGACAUUUAUCAUUUGAGAUCGCUCUCUCACAGUUAAGUUCAUAGCUUUUUUUUUUUUUUAAACCACUGUAGCAAUGCCAGAUCCUUAACCCAUUGUGCCACAGUGGGAACUCUACUAAUUCUUACCUUGACUAAAGACUGUAUUGUGUAUUGUGUUGACUGUAUCAACACAAAUACUUGCCUUUAUAAAACACUUUGUCGUUAGAAUCACUCGGAUGAAUUAAUCACCCCACAGGUUUUUCUUAAGAUACAUUUCUGGUUGGUUUUUCCUCUGUUGCUAUUCUUAAUAAAUUGACUUGUAAUGUGGGGCUACAAAGUAAGCUAGAAUUUAGGAGAUCAACAUUCUUAUCCUGGCUCUGCCAUAAUUUGUCAUGGUAUUUUAAACAAUUUAUGCUACAUGUCUGAGUACCACAGUCCACAUCUGCAAAAUGUGUAGGUUGCAUUGGACGGCUUCUGUAGUACCUUUAUGUUCUGAAAUGGUAUGAAUCUUUGAAUGGCAACAAGGGAGAGUGAUUUUAAAAGAAUAACAAUGCAUUUUGUAUAGGAAAAAAACCCUUAAUUUAUUCCAUUAUUACAUUAUUCCAGUAUUACACAUGGGAAAAGUAAGGCAAAUGAAGUUAGGUAUGCCAGAGUCACUCAGUAAAGGAUCUAGGAUUGCUAAACUCCAAAGUCUACACUCUUGACCACUACCUUGAGGUGCUGGAUGGGAUCAACUUUUUUUCUAUUUUCCACUUGGAAUUGGAGAUUAGGAAAAUCACAGCUUAGCAAAUGCUUGCCUAGAAGUGUUACUUUCAUAAGACAGCUGCCAGAUACAUCUGUUUAGUAAAGGACAUAAUAAAGAUUUUAUAAGCUUAAUCAUAAUGGUACUUACAAACAAUGUAUAAAUCCAUUAUAGCAUAUCAAAUAAAUAAGGUUUCAUCUUUCAAGAGAGUAUUUUUUAAUAUUUUCAUAAUAUCUGAUGACGGACACUUAUGAAUUGGAAGGCUGGCCAGAGUUCCUGGUUUUAUAUUUCUUACAAACAUAUUUUUUAUUAUUAUUUUUAUUUCUUAUAAUAGUCCCUCUGGGGAAGUUGCUGCUUGACCCAGAUAUUCAAAUAUGAAGUG